Chrysemys picta bellii (western painted turtle) is the source of this 1998-nucleotide long non-coding RNA. RefSeq lists it as uncharacterized. The record is from RefSeq and is a predicted model, not a curated record. Lineage: Eukaryota; Metazoa; Chordata; Testudines; Emydidae.
AGGUAAUGGACCAAAACCUGCACUGACCUACACCUUGUGGGGCUCAAGUGAACUUACUGAGGCUGUGUGAACAAAGAAGGACGUGCUCAGAAUUCAAACUUGGACCUACUCACUUGGCGGCACCCUGCAAGGAAGUGCUACAAGCCAGGCUCCCUUGCACUCAGCUAAAUCUCUGAGGCUUGUUUAUACUGACUCGACUGAUGUGUAAGGGAGAUGGAAGAAGGGCUGAGAAAGUACUCUGAGCAGAUCUGGAUGAAUAAAGAAGUGCAGGGAGAGUGAAACCCAGCCAGAGAGCAGGGCUUGAGCUGGCUUCUUUUCCUGUCCACGUUGUAUUAGCAAUAGGCCAGCACACUUCCAAGACCAAGGCUGUCUCCUGAAUGAAAGAAAAAUAAAACUGAGAACAGGAGCACAAUGAUUAUAUUAUUCAAGCACAAAGAGUGUCAAUUUAAGGAUUAUUAAACUUGACCUGACUGGGGAAUGGCUAAGGUAUGGUAAAACAAAAAUAGAGCUGAAAAGAACACAAACUUUUUGGUAAGAAACUUACCAGUAAUGAUUUGUUUAAUUUGUUAGCUGUUUUUGGAGCACAGAAAUUUCUCCUCUUAUGAUUUUUUUUUUUGUACUGCAGUAGUGCCUAGAAGACCCAACCAAAGUUAAAGGCCUUAUUGUGUUAGGUGCUGUGUACCCCUCCGCCAAGAGGUUAUUUCUAUCCCAAAAAGCUUAUGAUCCCUAGUUAUUUCUCAAUGACCUAUGCACAGAUUUGAAAUGGACACCGGCAAGUAUAAAAAUGGAUCUCUUUUGGAAGUAAAUUUGGAAUUACGAUAUUCAUUUUUGUAUUUCUUCAAAAAAUAAGCAUUUGACUGGAAAUUGGAUAAUUUUAAUGCUACUGGAUCUAUUUUUGUGUAAAAGUCCUCAACUUUGCCUGCUUGUUCAUGCCAACUCAAAAUGCCAAGCUUGUCAGAUUUCACAGUGACUAUUUUGCACAUCCCUACACAAUAAAAUGGCUCAAGAAUAUAUGCAUGGAUUUCAAAACUACAAACUGCAUUUUAAAAGCAGACUGCAGCCCAGAUUUUCAACAUCUAUGUAAACUGAAUUGGUCCUCUGUUUUAUCUCACCCUCCUCAAUCCAAAAAUCUCUUUUGUUAUGGAUGGGUCUCUGACUAUGAUGUAGAUAGUAGUGAUUUUAAUAAAUAACGAUAAUAUGUAUGUGACUGGCUGCAGAGACUCUGGUCUGGCAAAUAAGGUGUUAAUGGCAACGCAAGUUACAGGUGUUGCUCGGAGAGACCAUAAAAUCAGCUGCCCCAGACAGGAAGGGAAAGACUGCCUAUGAGAAAGCUAUCCUGAAAAUCUUAGGGCUGUGAGUUACGGUUAAGAAACCCUGAUCUGGGGAGUAUGUUUGUGUUACUCUUUGAAGUAUUAUCUUUUUUCCCCCCUAUGACCAAGAGAUAAGAUCCUCUCUGGAAAAGGUGGGAUCUGACUGGUUCACCCUGUGGUUUUGUGCUGAGCUGUUCAAAUUUCACUCCUGAGGGCCAGCCUGGCAGACCAAGUUGCAACACACGGCACUGCAAUGCCAGGGGAAUUGGAGUCUGAGUCAAAGCUAUAUUUGGCUGAAUAUUUGGCUUUCCUAGCUCAAGAAGUCCAUUCCCUGCUAAUACACUUAAGUCCCAUUCAGAUUGUUGGGAGUUUUGUGCAGCCAUCAGCAGGAGAAUAGACCACUUAGGCCUGGUCUACACUAGGAGGUUAUGUCGAAUUUAGCAGCGUUAAAUCUAAUUAACCCUGCACCCGUCCACACAACAAAGCUAUUCAGUUCGACAUAGAGGUCUCUUUAAAUCAAUUUCUGUACUCCUCCCCGAUGAGGGGAGUAGCGCCAUGUCGAAUUAUGGUAGGUGUGGAAGGAAUUUGACACUAAUAGCUCCGGGAGCUAUCCCACAGUGCACCACUCUGUUGACGCUCUGGACAGCAGUCCGAGAUCGGAUGCUCUGACCAGCCACACAGGUAAAGC